UACGUAGGGUGCAAGCGUUAAUCGGAAUUACUGGGCGUAAAGCGUGCGCAGGCGGCUUUGCAAGACAGAUGUGAAAUCCCCGGGCUUAACCUGGGAAUGGCAUUUGGGACUGCAAGGCUUGAGUUUGGCAGAGGAGACUGGAAUUCCUGGUGUAGCAGUGAAAUGUGUAGAUAUCAGGAGGAAUACCGAUGGCGAAGGCAGGUCUCUGGGCUAGAACUGACGCUCAUGCACGAAAGCGUGGGGAGCAAACAGG
This 253-nucleotide ribosomal RNA is filed under the name uncultured bacterium. Its description in RNAcentral is "partial 16S ribosomal RNA". It matches the Rfam family "Bacterial small subunit ribosomal RNA", at positions 524 to 776 of the family's 1533-position model. The record is from RNAcentral.